AGUGGGCCGGAUGGUCGCGGCUGCAAUUAUGCAGGUGAGGAAAGUCCGGGCUUCACAGGGCAGGAUGCCGGAUAACGUCCGGUGGAGGUGACUCCAAGGCCAGUGCAACAGAAAUAUACCGCCGGUUGUAUGACCGGUAAGGGUGGAAGGGCAGCUUAAGAGACUACCGCUUCUGCGGUAACGCAGAAGGCACAUGUAAACCCCAUCCGAAGCAAGACCAAACAGAAGCGAUGACGUGGCCCGCCAGCUUCAGGUAGGUUGCUUGAGCCUGCCGGUAACGGCAGGACUAGAUAGAUGACCAUUCAAGACAUAACCCGGCUUACAGGUCCACUGG
This 334-nucleotide RNase P RNA is filed under the name uncultured Butyrivibrio sp. Its description in RNAcentral is "Bacterial RNase P class A". It matches the Rfam family "Bacterial RNase P class A". From Rfam's summary of the family: Ribonuclease P (RNase P) is a ubiquitous endoribonuclease, found in archaea, bacteria and eukarya as well as chloroplasts and mitochondria. Its best characterised activity is the generation of mature 5'-ends of tRNAs by cleaving the 5'-leader elements of precursor-tRNAs. Cellular RNase Ps are ribonucleoproteins. Lineage: Bacteria; Bacillati; Bacillota; Clostridia; Lachnospirales; Lachnospiraceae. The record is from RNAcentral.